Podarcis muralis (Common wall lizard) is the source of this 115-nucleotide small nuclear RNA. Its record names the gene U5. It matches the Rfam family "U5 spliceosomal RNA". Rfam says of the family: U5 RNA is a component of both types of known spliceosome. The record is from Ensembl. NCBI's taxonomy places the organism in Eukaryota, Metazoa, Chordata, Lepidosauria, Squamata, Lacertidae.
UUCUCUGGUUUCUCUUGAGAUUGUAUAAAUCUUUCGCCUUUUACUAAAGAUUUUCAUGUUUUAGAAGACAUCUGAAGGGAGCCCUGGAUUUAAUGUUUGAUGUUUUGUUACAUUU